UCUGCUUAGGAAACAGACGCUCUAUCCACUGAGCUACAGGCGCUGGAUGCUAACAUAACUCACUUCCACUUUAAUGAUCUCUAUAACAAUUUUUCCACCCAUUGAAUUUGAACAAGUGUGUUUGGGAGGAAAUCUGAGAGUUUCAAUUCAGAAUUUGAGAGAGAAAUGGAGGAGGAGUCGAUUCGGAGCUUCUGCAAUUCGACGGCUUCAUUCGAGCAGCUGCGACGCCCUCAAGACCUCCAUCGACCGCCGUCCCAUCCCUCUCGCCACCGCCUCCUCCACCUUCAACCGCCGCGUCUCCUCCGCCAGCUCCCACCUUAACCUCCUCGAAUCCAUCUCCUUCGAGGAGCUACGAGGUCCACAAGGACAACCACUCCCGCCUCCAGCCCUUCGGUUACGUCCCCGGUACUCUGACUUCUCUCCCACUCUAAUUUCGUCCUUAAUCCAAUUUCAUUUAAUUUUUCCUGUUUAUCACAAUUUGUUAAUUUUUGCUAGUUUUUUUUGUUUUGUUUUGGGUACAACUUGAAAUUGAUGAGGAGGAUGACGAUGUAUCGUCGCCCAUUACUCAACAAGAUGGACCAGAAGACGACGACGAUUUAUUAGACGAGCCCUUGAGUUUGAAGAAGCUGGGGCUUUCGUAUGCUUCUCUUGCCACAUUAGCAUUCCAAGCUAAUGCUAGAAAUGAAGACCAACAUGUGUCUUUUCCUUCGUCUCUCUCGUAUGAUCCUUCCAAGGAGAGCUCGGGAGCGUCUUUGGAUGGAUCGCUCUCAGAUUGCGAUGUAGGGGAGGUUGAGGAUAAACAGAUGGUUGCAUCUUGUGAAGGUCUGCAGGGAUGUUACGAGUCUCUUCCUUCCUACAUGAAAAGUCUAGCGCCCUGGGAGGACCUGCUUGCUGCUGUAGAGAAGAUCAACUCAGGCCUGAAACAGUGAAUUCUCUUUCGAUUACCAGUGAAAGAAAGAGACGAAGAACAAGAGGAUGUUUGGAAGAUGUUGCUGCUUAGCUAAUGACUAGAGGGGCUGUGCAUUUAUAUAAUCCGACUGGCAUGAAUCGCAUGAUGAACCUUGUUUAUUGAUGCAGUCAGAUUAUUCACAUCAUUUAAAAAGUGCUCAUGAUAUUUGUUCCGAUCAUUUGUUUUUAAUUUUCAAUCUUCUUUUCACUUGUUAUCAGUGAAGGAAUUCUCUGUUAGAUAACAAGUGAAAGAAGAUUGAAGAUAAAAAACAAGACUGUUUGAAAAAAUGUUGCUGCUUAGCUAGUGCAUUUGAAUAACCCGAUUGGCAUGAAUUUUGAAUGACAAAACCAUGUUUAUUCAUGUAGUCGGGGUGAGCCUUUGGCAUGAAAGCUGGCUGACUCAUAGCCUUUAUGUGUUUCUCUGCUAUCGAUUCGAGGAUGAAGGUUGCAUUUGCGAACCUGGGUUCUGGGCCUCCACUGCUUCUGCUUCUGGAGCAUUGCCUCCUACCCAAGCGUAGUAUAUGGCACAGACACUCUCACUAAGACAUCAAGGCAUCAAACAUUAAUCCUGACUCUAGCUAAUUAUGAAAGCUAGCUGCUGGAGUUCAACUGUAAAAGGUAGUAUUCUUGCUUCAAGCUAUCUUGCUAGUUCUUAUCUAUGACAAUGCUCAAAUAUCAUUCAUGUUUUUCACAGCCUUUGUAGUGACACUGUCAAUAGAGUGUACUGUAUUACAUCUAAACUCUAAUAAUCCAAUACUCUGAAGAUGAUACGAAGGACAUAUAGUCUAAUCUAAUAUAAGGUGUGGGGAGAUGCAGCAGGACGUAGGACUGGAAACCGUAUAUAAAUAUAAGGGAUCGGAGUUGGGACGCCGGCGCAACCCUCACGAAUCAUUAUAGCUAGGGCCCGGGAUGUAUAAACAAGUGAAAAUAAGAUUGAAAAAGAGCAACUCUAACAAUUUACAUAUGAUGCAAUCCUUGGAAUUAUGAUGUAAAUUGUUUUCUGAAUCUACCUUGUAAGUUCUAAACUUUCUUGUGAUCAUACGUACAUUUUUAUC
Argentina anserina (silverweed cinquefoil) is the source of this 2003-nucleotide long non-coding RNA. RefSeq lists it as uncharacterized. Lineage: Eukaryota; Viridiplantae; Streptophyta; Magnoliopsida; Rosales; Rosaceae. The transcript is spliced from 5 exons. The record is from RefSeq and is a predicted model, not a curated record.